GAUCAUGGCUCAGGAUGAACGCUGGCGGCGUGCCUAACACAUGCAAGUCGAACGAAGCUUGACGGAUGAUUUCUUCGGAAUGAAACCAGAUAUGACUUAGUGGCGGACGGGUGAGUAACACGUGAGCAACCUGCCUUUCAGAGGGGGAUAACGGCUGGAAACGGUCGCUAAUACCGCAUGACGUGUUCGGAUGGCAUCAUCUGAACAUCAAAGAUUAU
Molecule: ribosomal RNA, 218 nt
Filed under: uncultured bacterium
Lineage: Bacteria
Description: partial 16S ribosomal RNA
Rfam family: Bacterial small subunit ribosomal RNA
Source: RNAcentral